UUUAAGGAAACGUGGUUGCCCGGGUCGCUGAGUUAGAUGACUGGGCGCGACAAAGAUUGCGCCCAGAUAAACAAGCAAGACACACUCUCAGUAAGUAAUUGAAAAAGACUUGCACAUUGUGCACCCAGACUCCUAGCAACUUCUUCCAGAGAGGAUGUCUCCAGACCUCAUGUUUGUACUGCAUCUUCUUUUUCAAUCUUAAAGAAAUGAAGAAUCUCACGUGGCUGUCAUUGCAGUUGUCAAAGAACCCUGACUGAUACACAGCUGCAUCAGAUGACUUGGAAAGCAUGCUGUCCUAAAAAGAAUGAACCUAUUAAGGCUCAAAUUAUGGUGUAAAAAUAUAAGUACCAUCAGUAAAUACUGGGGUGAACUUUGAGUAAUUGUCGUCUGAGAUCCACAUCUCAGACGUGCAAAAAAAAAAAAAAAAAAGCGACAAACCUGCGAUAGAUCAAGGUAAAACAAGAAGACAGGAUAGUCCCUGAGUCUGGACAGUGAAAGAAG
Long non-coding RNA from Cynocephalus volans (Philippine flying lemur), 501 nucleotides. RefSeq lists it as uncharacterized. NCBI's taxonomy places the organism in Eukaryota, Metazoa, Chordata, Mammalia, Dermoptera, Cynocephalidae. The record is from RefSeq and is a predicted model, not a curated record. The transcript is spliced from 3 exons.